This 241-nucleotide long non-coding RNA is filed under the name Sorghum bicolor (sorghum). Its description in RNAcentral is "long non-coding RNA (SBIC_LNC007950)". The record is from RNAcentral. Lineage: Eukaryota; Viridiplantae; Streptophyta; Magnoliopsida; Poales; Poaceae.
AUAAGAUUUGUGUAGACUAUUUUAUUAUAUAUUCAUGAUUGAAUCCACAACAUAAAAAUGGUUUUUACUCUAUGCAACAGAUUCUCUCUUAGAAGUCUAAAAGAGAAUGUGGGCUAUAAAAUUAAAAGAUGCCAUACCAGAGAAGUAUGAGCCUAAAAGAUGCCAUACCAAAAGGGUAUGUGCCAAAUUAAAAAGAAAGAGAGCAAAACAAUGGGUGGAAAGACACCCGCCUGAGAGGAAA